UACGGAGGGUGCAAGCGUUAUCCGGAUUCACUGGGCUUAAAGGGUGCGUAGGCGGGUAUGUAAGUCAGUGGUGAAAUCUCCGUGCUUAACAUGGAAACUGCCAUUGAUACUAUGUUUCUUGAAUUUUCUGGAGGUAAGCGGAAUAUGUCAUGUAGCGGUGAAAUGCUUAGAUAUGACAUAGAACACCAAUGGCGAAGGCAGCUUGCUGGAGGGAUAUUGACACUGAGGCACGAAAGCGUGGGGAUCAAACAGG
Molecule: ribosomal RNA, 253 nt
Filed under: uncultured bacterium
Lineage: Bacteria
Description: partial 16S ribosomal RNA
Rfam family: Bacterial small subunit ribosomal RNA
Source: RNAcentral